Dreissena polymorpha is the source of this 443-nucleotide long non-coding RNA. RefSeq lists it as uncharacterized. NCBI's taxonomy places the organism in Eukaryota, Metazoa, Mollusca, Bivalvia, Myida, Dreissenidae. The transcript has 3 exons. The record is from RefSeq and is a predicted model, not a curated record.
GCAUUUGACAACUUGGAUUUUGCAAAAUGGUUGAAGAAUAAGUCAUUGUUGUAUCUUUUCUUAAUAAAAGCAUUCGAUGAUUACCGAUUUUGGCAUAUUGCAUAUUGCCAAGGGAGAUGUUUACUGAGGAUUCCAUGCCAUUAAUGUGCAGGCUGUUGCUGACGCCAGAAUGAGCAAUAUCUGAGCACCAAUGAUGAGGGUAAUCUGCUGGGAGAUAGUGGGUAUCCGUUAAGGACUAACCUGAUGACCCCUUAACCUCAUCCCUCCCAUGCUGCGGAACAGGCCUACAAUGACCAUCUAUGUAGAGGGUGGGUAGUAGAAAGGGCAUUUGGAGUGUUGAAAUCACGAGAUUGGUAACAUAUUAUAUAGGUUGUGAAAUAUAAGUCUUAUUAGUGCGAGAUCAACUUACCACACAGUAUUUAAAUGAAGUAUUAGUGCCAAUC